Molecule: ribosomal RNA, 253 nt
Filed under: uncultured bacterium
Lineage: Bacteria
Description: partial 16S ribosomal RNA
Rfam family: Bacterial small subunit ribosomal RNA
Source: RNAcentral
UACGGAGGAUGCAAGCGUUAUCCGGAAUGAUUGGGCGUAAAGCGUCCGCAGGUGGCUUUGUAAGUCUGCUGUUAAAGAGUGAGGCUCAACCUCAUAAGAGCAGUGGAAACUACAAGGCUAGAGUACGUUCGGGGCAGAGGGAAUUCCUGGUGUAGCGGUGAAAUGCGUAGAGAUCAGGAAGAACACCAGCGGCGAAAGCGCGUGACUGGGCCGGAACUGACACUCAUGGACGAAAGCUAGGGGAGCGAAAGGG